AUGAAUAUAAUUUUAUAUUAGUUAAAAUUUUAUGUUUAAAUUAGUUUUUAUUUUCAAAAUUUUUAAAAUUAAUAUUUAAGUAGAUUUUAUAAAUAAAUAUAUUUUUAAAAAUUUAUAUAUAUAAUAGUUUAAAAAUUAAAUUUUAAAAUAUAUAAAAUUACAUUAAAAAUAUUAACAAAUAAAAAGCAUAAUAAAUGGUUUGCUAUUAUUUUAGUCAUA
RNAcentral lists this transfer RNA (219 nucleotides) under Pneumocystis jirovecii. RNAcentral's name for it is "tRNA-Pseudo(TAA)". The record is from RNAcentral. Lineage: Eukaryota; Fungi; Ascomycota; Pneumocystomycetes; Pneumocystales; Pneumocystaceae.